This 321-nucleotide ribosomal RNA is filed under the name uncultured eukaryote. RNAcentral describes it as "partial 18S ribosomal RNA". It matches the Rfam family "Eukaryotic small subunit ribosomal RNA", at positions 1470 to 1796 of the family's 1831-position model. The record is from RNAcentral.
CCCUUAGAUGUUCUGGGCCGCACGCGUGCUACACUGAGUGGAUCAGCGGGUCAGGUUGCGCGAAAGUGUUUCCUAAUCUUUAAAUCCGCUCGUGAUGGGGAUUGACGGUUGCAAUUUUCCGUCAUGAACGAGGAAUACCUUGUAAGCGCGGGUCAUCAUCCCGCGCUGAAUACGUCCCUGCCCUUUGUACACACCGCCCGUCGCUCCUACCGAUUGAGUGGUCCGGUGAGGCUUUGGGAUCUGAGCGGAAAGAGCGUUUCGCUGUUUCUGCCCGGAAAACUCAGUCGAACCUUAUCAUUAGAGGAAGGAGAAGUCGUAACA